AGAGACAAGAGCCAUCUCCAGGACCACGUUUUAUUUCAAGUGAGGGCUCAAAUGCUGAUGUUCUGCUCUGUGCUAGACUUUAAGGGGACUGUCAGGAUGUCGGCUUCGGGCUUGACUGGCUGUCUGGUCGGUGUGGGCACUGGCAGUAAACUGGCCUACGCCAUUGCGCCCGAGAAGGACCGCGAGCUGGUGGACAGAGGGGAGGUGCGCCAGUUCACGCUCCGCCACUGGCUCAAGGUGUAGAGGGAGCAGAGACGAAGACCCCAGGAAGUCAUCCCGCAAUGGGAGAGACACGAACAAACCAAGGAAAUCUAAGUUUCAAGAGAAAGGAGGGCAACUUCUACUCUUCAACCUCUACUGAAAACACAAACAACAAAGCAGAAGACUCCUCUCUUCUGACUGUUUACACCUUUCCGUGCCGGGAGCGCACCUCACCGUGUCUUGUGUUGCUGUAAUAAUGACGUAGAUCUGUGCAGUGAGGUCCACCCCAUUCUCGUCUAACUUCAUGCUGCCUGUGUGAGGCUGGCUCCCUCCUUCCCUGCCGCUGGCUCCGAGGCUGCCCCAGGGGCACUGUGUUCUCAGGCGGGGAUCACGAUCCUUGUAGACGCACCUGCUGAGAAUCCCCGUGCUCACAGUAGCUUCCUAGACCAUUUACUUUGCCCAUAUUAAAAAGCCAAGUGUCCCGCUUGGUUUGGCUGUGCAGAAGGUGAAAUGGAGGAAACCACAAAUUCAUGCAAAGUCCUUUCCCGAUGCGUGGCUCCCAGCAGAGGCUGUAAAUUGAGCGUUCAGUUGACACAUUGCACACACACUGUUCAGAGGCAUUGGAGGACAGGGGUCCUGGUACGUCUCACCAGGAAAUUCUGUUUAUGUUCUUGUAGCAGAGAGAAAUAAAACUCCUUGAAACCAGCUCAGGCUACUGCCAC
This 923-nucleotide small RNA is filed under the name Pongo abelii (Sumatran orangutan). Its description in RNAcentral is "processed transcript". Lineage: Eukaryota; Metazoa; Chordata; Mammalia; Primates; Hominidae. The record is from RNAcentral.